This 569-nucleotide ribosomal RNA is filed under the name Myochama anomioides. RNAcentral describes it as "bacterial SSU rRNA". It matches the Rfam family "Eukaryotic small subunit ribosomal RNA", at positions 57 to 566 of the family's 1831-position model. Lineage: Eukaryota; Metazoa; Mollusca; Bivalvia; Myochamidae. The record is from RNAcentral.
GUCUAAGUACAAGCCGGGGGACCGGCGAGACUGCGAACGGCUCAGUAUAUCAGACACGGUUCCUUAGAGAGAGAGCCAGUUACAUGGAUAACUGUGGCAAAUCCAGAGCUAAUACAUGCAAGUGACAGUCCGGACCUUCAAAGAGGGACGGACGCGUUGUUUCAGUCUCUCGACGCAAAGAGAGCCCAUUCCGCCAAGGGAAAAUGCAAAAACCUGUCAAAGGCACACGAAAGCCUCGUCGAGCAGGGGAGCUCAGAAACAAGUCUGCCAAUCGCACGGCCUCGAGCCGGCGAUGCAUCUAUCAAACGUCUGUCCUAUCAUACUAGAUGGUACGGUAUUGGCCUACCAUGGUUACAACGGGUGACGGGGAAUCGGGGUUCGAUUCCGGAGAGGGAGCCUGAGAAACGGCUACCACAUCCAAGGAAGGCAGCAGGCGCGCAAAUUACCCACUCCCGACACGGGGAGGUAGUGACGAAAUAUAAAGAGGCGCGGGCCCUAUGUGGUCGCGCUACCUGAAUGAGUGCAAAACAAACCUCUGAUACGAGGAGCUAUCGGAGGCAAGCCUGGUG